CCUACGGGUGGCAGCAGUGAGGAAUAUUGGUCAAUGGACGAGAGUCUGAACCAGCCAAGUAGCGUGAAGGAUGACUGCCCUAUGGGUUGUAAACUUCUUUUAUAUGGGAAUAAAAUGUUCCACGUUUGGGAUUUUGUAUGUACCAUAUGAAUACGGAUCGGCUAACUCCGUGCCAGCAGCCGCGGUAAUACGGAGGAUCCGAGCGUUAUCCGGAUUUAUUGGGGUUAAAGGGAGCGUAGGUGGAUUGUUAAGUCAGUUGUGACAGUUUGCGGCUCAACCGUAAAAUUGCAGUUGAAACUGGCAGGCUUGAGUACAGUAGAGGUGGGCGGAAUUCGUGGUGUAGCGGUGAAAUGCUUAGAUAUCACGAAGAACUCCGAUUGCGAAGGCAGCUCACUGGACUGCAACUGACACUGAGGCUCGAAAGUGUGGGUAUCAAACAGGAUUAGAUACCCCGGUAGUC
RNAcentral lists this ribosomal RNA (460 nucleotides) under uncultured bacterium. RNAcentral describes it as "partial 16S ribosomal RNA". It matches the Rfam family "Bacterial small subunit ribosomal RNA", at positions 338 to 795 of the family's 1533-position model. The record is from RNAcentral.